This 253-nucleotide ribosomal RNA is filed under the name uncultured bacterium. RNAcentral describes it as "partial 16S ribosomal RNA". It matches the Rfam family "Bacterial small subunit ribosomal RNA", at positions 524 to 776 of the family's 1533-position model. The record is from RNAcentral.
UACGUAGGGGGCAAGCGUUAUCCGGAUUCAUUGGGCGUAAAGAGCGCGUAGGCGGCUUGUUAAGCGAGAUGUGAAAACCGGGGGCUUAACCCGCGGCCUGCAUCUCGAACUGGCAGGCUUGAGUCUGGUAGAGGAGUGUGGAAUUCCCAGUGUAGCGGUGAAAUGCGCAGAUAUUGGGAGGAACACCAGUGGCGAAGGCGGCACUCUGGGCCACGACUGACGCUGAGGCGCGAAAGCUAGGGGAGCGAACAGG